CAGGAUGGAUGUGCCCAGCGCGGCCUCCCCACACUCUCCUGGGAACAAUGAGACCCAACAAAGGGUUCUCGGCUCUCCCACGUGGUGAACCUCGUCCUUCGCUCCCUCGGCAAAGUGAGGCAUGGCAGGGGGAGGGCCUCGUUCCGGGAGCCCACCCGCCAGGGCCCCAGGGCCCCAGGACCAGAAGGCGCCAGGCACGCUGUCGCCAGAGGAAACCCCAUCAGGCUCCUGACCCUACUUCCUUGGGCUCAGACAUCCCCCAUCAAGCCUGGAAACCAUGCAGGCCCAGAAACCCUAGUCCAGAAGUUACCCCCAGGAAACCCACAGCCCCCGAGGCACUCUCUUUCAUAGGCUCAGGACGCAUGGGGUCUGGUCCAAGGUUAUGGGAUGAACGUCAGCGCACCGUUGGUUCACCACUUACCAGUCUCUGGAGCCGUGCCUGGCCUGCAACAUGCGUUUAA
RNAcentral lists this long non-coding RNA (461 nucleotides) under Ursus maritimus (polar bear). RNAcentral's name for it is "lncRNA (ENSUMAG00000002529.1)". Lineage: Eukaryota; Metazoa; Chordata; Mammalia; Carnivora; Ursidae. The record is from RNAcentral.